GACGAACGCUGGCGGCGUGCUUAACACAUGCAAGUCGAACGGAAAGGCCCAGCUUGCUGGGUGCUCGAGUGGCGAACGGGUGAGUAACACGUGGGUGAUCUGCCUCUAACUUCGGGAUAAGCUUGGGAAACUGGGUCUAAUACCGGAUAGGACAAUCGUUUAGUGUCGGUUGUGGAAAGUUUUUUCGGUUAGGGAUGAGCCCGCGGCCUAUCAGCUUGUUGGUGGGGUAAUGGCCUACCAAGGCGUCGACGGGUAGCCGGCCUGAGAGGGUGGACGGCCACAUUGGGACUGAGAUACGGCCCAGACGCCUACGGGAGGCAGCAGUGGGGAAUAUUGCACAAUGGGCGCAAGCCUGAUGCAGCGACGCCGCGUGGGGGAUGACGGCCUUCGGGUUGUAAACCUCUUUCGACAGGGACGAAGCUUUGGUGACGGUACCUGUAUAAGAAGCACCGGCUAACUACGUG
This 464-nucleotide ribosomal RNA is filed under the name uncultured bacterium. Its description in RNAcentral is "partial 16S ribosomal RNA". It matches the Rfam family "Bacterial small subunit ribosomal RNA", at positions 28 to 507 of the family's 1533-position model. The record is from RNAcentral.